RNAcentral lists this ribosomal RNA (440 nucleotides) under uncultured bacterium. Its description in RNAcentral is "partial 16S ribosomal RNA". It matches the Rfam family "Bacterial small subunit ribosomal RNA", at positions 338 to 795 of the family's 1533-position model. The record is from RNAcentral.
CCUACGGGAGGCAGCAGUGGGGAAUAUUGCACAAUGGGGGAAACCCUGAUGCAGCGACGCCGCGUGAAGGAAGAAGUAUUUCGGUAUGUAAACUUCUAUCAGCAGGGAAGAAAAUGACGGUACCUGACUAAGAAGCCCCGGCUAACUACGUGCCAGCAGCCGCGGUAAUACGUAGGGGGCAAGCGUUAUCCGGAUUUACUGGGUGUAAAGGGAGCGUAGGCGGUUUAGCAAGUCAGAAGUGAAAGCCCGGGGCUCAACUCCGGGACUGCUUUUGAAACUGUUGAACUAGAGUGCAGGAGAGGUAAGUGGAAUGCCUAGUGUAGCGGUGAAAUGCGUAGAUAUUAGGAGGAACACCAGUGGCGAAGGCGGCUUACUGGACUGUAAAUGACGCUGAGGCUCGAAAGCGUGGGGAGCAAACAGGAUUAGAUACCCGAGUAGUC